RNAcentral lists this ribosomal RNA (535 nucleotides) under uncultured bacterium. RNAcentral's name for it is "bacterial SSU rRNA". It matches the Rfam family "Bacterial small subunit ribosomal RNA", at positions 365 to 917 of the family's 1533-position model. The record is from RNAcentral.
UGAGANUGGGNGAAGCCAGACUCAGCAACGCCGCGUGGACGAUGAAGGCCUUCGGGUCGUAAAGUCCUUUUCAGAGGGACGAGUGAGGACGGUACCUCUGGAAUAAGUCACGGCUAACUACGUGCCAGCAGCCGCGGUAAAACGUAGGUGGCAAGCGUUAUCCGGAUUCAUUGGGCGUAAAGCGCCUGCAGGCGGUCCCGUAAGUGGGAUGUGAAAUCUCCUAGCUUAACUGGGAGGGGUCAUUCCAUACUGCGGGGCUUGAGGGCAGAAGAGGGAAGCGGAAUUCCCGGUGUAGUGGUGAAAUGCGUAGAUAUCGGGAGGAACACCAGUGGCGAAGGCGGCUUCCUGGCCUGCUCCUGACGCUAAGAGGCGAAAGCUAGGGGAGCGAACGGGAUUAGAAACCCCGGUAGUCCUAGCCGUAAACGAUGGAUACUGGGUGUCGGUGGUCCUAACCCCAUCGGUGCCGAAGCCAACGCGUUAAGUAUCCCGCCUGGGGACUACGGCCGCAAGGUUAAAACUCAAAAAAAUUGACGGA